RNAcentral lists this ribosomal RNA (253 nucleotides) under uncultured bacterium. RNAcentral describes it as "partial 16S ribosomal RNA". It matches the Rfam family "Bacterial small subunit ribosomal RNA", at positions 524 to 776 of the family's 1533-position model. The record is from RNAcentral.
GACGAACCGUGCGAACGUUGUUCGGAUUCACUGGGCUUAAAGGGCGCGUAGGCGGAUGGUCAAGUCGGGGGUGAAAUCUUUCAGCUUAACUGGAAAAAUGCCUCCGAUACUGACUGUCUCGAGGGAGGUAGGGGCAUGUGGAACUUCCGGUGGAGCGGUGAAAUGCGUAGAUAUCGGAAGGAACGCCGGUGGCGAAAGCGACGUGCUGGACCUCUUCUGACGCUGAGGCGCGAAAGCUAGGGGAGCAAACGGG